Manis javanica (Malayan pangolin) is the source of this 2405-nucleotide long non-coding RNA. RefSeq lists it as uncharacterized. The record is from RefSeq and is a predicted model, not a curated record. NCBI's taxonomy places the organism in Eukaryota, Metazoa, Chordata, Mammalia, Pholidota, Manidae.
UUGCAGCAGGAAAAGUAUGGCAACAGAACUGCCUCCCAUAGGUACUGCUGGCAGAUUGGCCAAAGACCUUGGCCAUGCCCUGGGGUGGCUCUCUUUGUGGCUGAUAAAGCAGUUAGAGGACUUACUGAGAACCAAGCUUCAAACAAGAUCAGCUUGCCAUUACUACCUUUUGUGAUGCUACUUGAGUAUCAUUUCCAAAGGAUGCCUCGCUUCAUGUUCCAAUUUUGCUACCUGUCCAGGAAGUGGGCGUAUCCCAAGUAGGGAUUGUUUCUUCAGAUCUUGCCCAGGAGUGAAGAGACUGCAGAGCUGACACAUAAUGGAAAUUCACGAAGCUUCUGGAGCAUGUGUGUUACUAAAAGAAGGGAAUGAACCGAGAAAGGGGAGAAUCUGAGUGUGGAAACAAGGUUCCCAGCAAAGGAAAGAGGCAAGGUGAACUUCUACAGUGAUAAUGAAGAAAUGUCUUAUGCUGACAAAAUUCAGCUGUUCUGGAGAUCAAUCAUUCUAUGUAGAAACAGAAGGCUGGAAAGAUCCACAGAUGUCUAUAUUAAAAAAAAAAAAAAGAACCACUGGAAUACUUCAGGUGCUUGACAAAAUUGGUCAGAAGAAAACUGGAGAAGUCUAAGAAAAGUUUAUAGCAUAUAUAUAAAUGCACUCACACAUACACAAAAAGAAAACAAAAUGAAUAAGUCGUCAAUAUUUAACUCCAGCAAAAACAAAACAUGCAAAAAAAAAGAAAGAUAAGCAAAGUAUUGAUAAUGCAUUGUCAUUAUAUUAUAAAAACUGAAUAAUUACUUAAUACAAAACUGUGAUUAAAAUAUGCAGGGAGGGAGAAGAGUGUGGGUGUGUGUAGGGGUGGUGAAAGGAUAGUAAGUCUUUAUCUUCUGUAGUAGGAAGCGAGUAGAUAUUAUUUAAACUUACUUAAUCAAUAUAUAGCACCAUAAGCUUAUUACUAAAAAUGAGGAGUUAAAUAUAAGAGGAGAAAGAGCGAACUGAAUGGGAAGUUGCCUCUGCCUUUGGGGAAUCUAAUUCUGGGGCUGAAUAUUGUUUUUUGUUGCUGUUGUUUUGCUAUUUGUUUGUUAUUAUAAACUUUGUAAUAUUGGAUGACCUUUGAAACCAUGUCUGGGUAUUUUUUGAUUGUCCAAAAUAUUUUUACAGCCAAAAGAAUUUGUGAUACAAAACCUAUUUGCAUUAAAGGUUUUCUUAAUCUUUCCAGAAUAGGUUGCCAUUAGACAAAAAAGACGUUAGUCACCUACUAGUUAUUAAUCACUAUUUUUCCUUAAUUCAACUACUUAAAAAAUUCAAAUGGCUAAAUAUAUCAUGGCAUAUGCUUUUAUUAUAUUAUUUAGAAAGCAUUUCUAUCAGAGUAAAACAUUUUCUAUUAUAAGGGAGGAAAAAACAUUUUCCUUCUACCUUUCUACGUUCUUGGUUGUGGCUCUAACAAAAGACAAAUGAACAAGAGAAAAGCAUACAAAUUUAUUUAAAGGAGUUUUAUGUGACACAAGAGCCUUCAUAAGGCAAUAAAGACCCCAAGAACCAAUUAAACCUGAGUGUUUUUAUAUCCUAGGUUUGAUGAAGAGUGGAAGUCAUGGGCAAGUGUGAUAGGACAGAAGUGUGUGAGCUGAGAGUAGUAAACUGGGGGAAGCUUAGCAAGACCUGUUCAGAAUCUUCUCAAAAUCCCACUGUCUUUGAGGAUUAAGGAUGCUCUUGUUCUCUGGGUAUAAAGAGAGAACUGCUUUAAUGAGGGUCGUAUGACCUGAUUUCAGGGGAGAAGGGAAGAUCUGAGAGUCCUUCCUGUACCUGCCAAUUCUCAAUUUCCUACAGCUUAAAAUAUAUACCCUAUAUGCCAAGGUGCUGUAUUUGGAGGUAGUCUGUUCUGAACCCUUUUGCUAUCAUAAAUUAAAUGUAUUAACUCUUUUGAAAUAUUGUGCCUAAGAAUCUUUAUAUAGAAUCAGAUAAUUCUGUAAUUUUAUUUUACUCUUUUACAUGAAUUUUCUAUUACAUCCUCUUAAUAACCAUCAAAGGAAACAACCCUAAAUUAAUACUGUAAAAGCUAAUGAAUUAUUUAGACAUAUCCUUUAGAGAUAUUUAAAUAUAGUCUCUCAUGUAAUUUCUUUCUCCUAAGCAGGGUACAAGUGUUAAUAUUUAGUGUCUACAUCUUGGUUUCAAUUUCUUUAAAUCAUCUUUGCAUAAGUAACGCAUUUUUAAAAAAGUAGUUGCAUAGAAAACAGUCUAGAGGAAUACAGAACAAAAGGCUAACUGUGGGUAUCUAGGAAAUGGAAUUGAGGAGGAUUUUGUAAAAUGUUUUACAGUCUUCGUGUGUUAUUUUUAUGAUCAGAAUGUAUUUGUGUGUUUGUAUGUGAAUGGGUAUAUGUAUAUAUGAAAAAUAAAAUAAGAAGUUGUGCAUA